This 153-nucleotide unclassified non-coding RNA is filed under the name uncultured fungus. Its description in RNAcentral is "sequence contains ITS1". The record is from RNAcentral. Lineage: Eukaryota; Fungi.
UUAAUUCAUUCAGUCAUUUCAGACACAGGUCAGAUGAUGGCAUAAGAGCGGCGCCAGCGGCGCCGAAGCACAGUUCUCGCUUCCACAGGUUUGAAGGGUUGAAGGUUCAAUGACCAUUCAGUAAUGAUCCCUCCGCAGGUUCACCUACGGAGA